Molecule: ribosomal RNA, 114 nt
Filed under: Cupriavidus consociatus
Lineage: Bacteria; Pseudomonadati; Pseudomonadota; Betaproteobacteria; Burkholderiales; Burkholderiaceae
Source: RNAcentral
CCUGGUGACCAUAGCGAGCUGGAACCACCCCUUCCCAUCCCGAACAGGUCCGUGAAACAGCUCCGCGCCGAUGAUAGUGCGGAUUACCCGUGUGAAAGUAGGUCAUCGCCAGGC